RNAcentral lists this ribosomal RNA (459 nucleotides) under uncultured bacterium. RNAcentral's name for it is "partial 16S ribosomal RNA". It matches the Rfam family "Bacterial small subunit ribosomal RNA", at positions 338 to 795 of the family's 1533-position model. The record is from RNAcentral.
CCUACGGGUGGCAGCAGUGAGGAAUAUUGGUCAAUGGGCGCGAGCCUGAACCAGCCAAGUCGCGUGAGGGAAGACGGUCCUAUGGAUUGUAAACCUCUUUUGUCGGGGAGCAAAAGACGACACGCGUGGCGUUCCGAGAGUACCCGAAGAAAAAGCAUCGGCCAACUCCGUGCCAGCAGACGCGGUAAUACGGAGGAUGCGAGCGUUGUCCGGAUUUAUGGGGUUUGAAGGGUGCGCAGGCGGAAGAGUAAGUCAGCGGUAAAAUUGAGAGGCUCAACCUCUUCGAGCCGUUGAAACUGGUUUUCUUGAGUGAGCGAGAAGUAUGCGGAAUGCGUGGUGUAGCGGUGAAAUGCAUAGAUAUCACGCAGAACUCCGAUUGCGAAGGCAGCAUACCGGCGCUCAACUGACGCUCAUGCACGAAAGUGUGGGUAUCGAACAGGAUUAGAUACCCCAGUAGUC